GCGGAAGUGCAGUAAGACGUAGUUGCCAGGACACGGGGGCCUGUGCACAAGUGCAUAGACGUCCAAGACCAACGCCGCCAUUUCAAACGAGGGCAGAAGUCCGGGACGCGAUCGUUUCUGCCCGGCAUUAGGCUCGGUACCCUAUUGUUCUUUGCCGCCCUCAGGACUGCUUCCUCAGGACACACGCAUCGCGUCUCCGCGUUGGUGGAGUGAGUCUGCCACCGCCCUCCGCAGUGCCCCGGUCCCCACGAGUAUGCUCCGUCCACGCGCGGCCCCUCCCCGCUGCCUGGGUCUUCGGGUCCCCGGCCGCGGCGGUCACUCCUCCGGUUACCUGCCGCCGGGAUUUCCCCGCCGUCCUGCCUUUGGUACCCCAGUUUCGCGUCCUGGGGUCGGGUUCGCGGCGGUAAGAGCCAGACCCACAUGCUGGAGCAGUGCUACCCAUCUGGAGGUGGGGGAAUUGGAGCGGGGCAGGGCUGGCAACUGGGUCCCCUCGGGGGCGUUCUUUAUCCUGGUGCUCGCGGCCCCGGCUCUUGGGCUGCUGUUUUGAAUUAGGCUGACUAAUACUUUUCAAAGAAUUAAAAAAAUAUAUCUUUAAUGUAUCUAUCUUAUUUUUAUGUGUUGCUGAGGAUCGAACCCAGAGUCUUGCACGUGCUAGACGAGCGAUCUACCGCUGAGCCAGAAUCCCAGCCCCUGAUUUCUGCUUUUGAGACCAAAGGCUGCAGUGAGGGAUGGGACUGUUCCCCUAUCCGGUUCCCACACAGGCCUCUAUCUCCCCAGCUAUUGCUUCUGCCAGCUGUUCCCAGAAGUUUCUCUGAAAAGCCUCUAUGCAAUAAGUGUUGGGUGGGGACGCAAAACACCUGGAGAGUUCCGAAAUGUCCCAAGGAGCGCGCGCUUUCUGCAAUGACAAAAUCAGAAUCUCAGAGUGAAGGCAUCAUCUGGACGCCAGGUGACCCUACAGCCUCGACUGAGAAUCACGGCCUCCCAGCCACACGAGUGGUGAGACCGUACUUGUCUCCUUGGUCCUUGGUCUUGGAUAGGAUGAGCUGGUCAGACAUCCUACCUAUUUGUCACUCUCAUCUUUUCCCCAUCUAUCUCGUGGCCCCCUCCAUAGACCUUUUUUUUUUUUUUGGCAUUGGGGAUUGAACCCAGGGCCUUGUGCAU
This 1161-nucleotide long non-coding RNA is filed under the name Ictidomys tridecemlineatus (thirteen-lined ground squirrel). RNAcentral describes it as "lncRNA (ENSSTOG00000031793.1)". The record is from RNAcentral. Lineage: Eukaryota; Metazoa; Chordata; Mammalia; Rodentia; Sciuridae.